Molecule: ribosomal RNA, 493 nt
Filed under: uncultured bacterium
Lineage: Bacteria
Description: bacterial SSU rRNA
Rfam family: Bacterial small subunit ribosomal RNA
Source: RNAcentral
AAAUGAAUUGACGGGGGCCCGCACAAGCAGCGGAGCAUGUGGUUUAAUUCGAAGCAACGCGAAGAACCUUACCAAGGCUUGACAUCCCUCGAAUUGCAUUGAAAGGUGCAAGCCCUUCGGGGCGAGGAGACAGGUGGUGCAUGGUUGUCGUCAGCUCGUGUCGUGAGAUGUUGGGUUAAGUCCCGCAACGAGCGCAACCCUUGUCAUCAGUUACCAGCACGUAAAGGUGGGGACUCUGGUGAGACUGCCGGGGACAACUCGGAGGAAGGUGGGGACGACGUCAAAUCAUCAUGCCCCUUAUGUCUUGGGCUACACACGUGCUACAAUGGCCGUAACAAAGAGAAGCGAACUCGCAAGGGGGAGCGGAACUCAAAAAAGCGGUCUCAGUUCGGAUUGUGGGCUGCAACCCGCCCACAUGAAGUCGGAGUUGCUAGUAAUCGCGAAUCAGCAUGUCGCGGUGAAUGCGUUCCCGGGCCUUGUACACACCGCCCGU